CACGGUAAUGACUCUGGCGAGCACAUCGCUUCAAGUCUAUGCCUAUCAUUUGUCGUGCUUAAAAUAGCUUCUUGGCACUACGUCGUGUGUGUAUUUCAAAUCAACAUGGAAGUACAGAACGCGGUGCACUGCGAAGCAAGACAUACGGAAGUCGCUCAUGACAAAAUGUAUAAAUGCGUAUAUCAACUUGAAAAGACAAAGAAGGAGCACGUCAAAGCUAUCCAUUCGCAACGCCAUCUUUCGUUGGGACCGACGUGGUAACUAGACCCAGAGAACUUUGACUAAUGAUUGAUGAUAACGAUUCGCGUACCUUGAUUAUUCUCGUUUUCGAACUAGGCUGCUGUAUCACGGAGUGGCCUUCUUCAGCACAGAGUUUAGUAUUAGGACUAUUUUGUGAAUGAUUUCAACUGGUGAUGGCUACAAACAAUAUUUGACUACUAAACAAGACUGCCAAAGUACGACCGUAAUCACUUUCAAAAUGAGGUUGAUUCACGCAAUUUGCUCUGGGAGUAGUCGAAGGGCUCGCAUUUACCACUUUCUAGCAGCCCAAGUUGGUUUUUCAAGGUUUAACUAGUAAGGAGGGUGCAUUCUGUUAACGAAAAUUUCACCCGGUUAGCCUGGUAUAACAUACGUCAUGCUGAUACAUUAGUAGUUCUACGCUCGUACAAGUACCAUGGAUCUUCACGAGAAUGAACAGGGCAUCCGUUCACUGGUACAUAAUAGGACGUAAUAAUAACAAUACCCGAUAUCCAAGUAUACUUCUUGUCUACCGAAGCAGCGUGAUACAUUUAUCUUCCUGAUUUCUUCCGUACUGGUGAAUUCCGUUUCCCUGCAC
Varroa destructor (honeybee mite) is the source of this 835-nucleotide long non-coding RNA. RefSeq lists it as uncharacterized. Lineage: Eukaryota; Metazoa; Arthropoda; Arachnida; Mesostigmata; Varroidae. The record is from RefSeq and is a predicted model, not a curated record.